GUCUGUAUGCCAUACCGUCCUGCCAGCGCCGAUCCCGUCCAAUCUCGGAAACUAAGCAGGACUGGGCCUGGUUAGUACUUGGAUGGGAAACAUCCUGGGAAUACCAGGUGCUGUAGGCU
Molecule: ribosomal RNA, 119 nt
Filed under: Mastacembelus armatus (zig-zag eel)
Lineage: Eukaryota; Metazoa; Chordata; Actinopteri; Synbranchiformes; Mastacembelidae
Source: RNAcentral